RNAcentral lists this ribosomal RNA (467 nucleotides) under uncultured bacterium. Its description in RNAcentral is "SSU rRNA". It matches the Rfam family "Bacterial small subunit ribosomal RNA", at positions 26 to 518 of the family's 1533-position model. The record is from RNAcentral.
AGGAUAAACGCUGGCGGCGUGCCUAACACAUGCAAGUCGAACGCCCUACGCAAGUAGGGAGUGGCAGACGGGUGAGUAACGCGUGGUCAACCUACCGUUGAGUGGGGGAUAACUAGCCGAAAGGUUAGCUAAUACCGCAUACGUCUCCGAGGGGCAUCCCUUGGCGAUAAAAGGAGCAAUCCGCUCGAUGACGGGACCGCGUCCCAUUAGCUAGAUGGUGGGGUAACGGCCUACCAUGGCACCGAUGGGUAGCUGGUUUGAGAGAGCGACCAGCCACACUGGGACUGAGAAACGGCCCAGACUCCUACGGGAGGCAGCAGUGAGGAAUUUUCCGCAAUGGGCGCAAGCCUGACGGAGCGACGCCGCGUGUGGGAAGAAGGCCUUCGGGGUCGUAAACCACUGUCGAAGGGGACGAUAAUGACGGUACCCUUGGAGGAAGCCCCGGCUAACUACGUGCCAGCAGCCGC